This 256-nucleotide ribosomal RNA is filed under the name uncultured bacterium. RNAcentral describes it as "partial 16S ribosomal RNA". It matches the Rfam family "Bacterial small subunit ribosomal RNA", at positions 524 to 776 of the family's 1533-position model. The record is from RNAcentral.
UACGGAGGGUGUGAGCGUUGUCCGGAAUCAUUGGGCGUAAAGGGCGCGUAGGUGGCCACUUCAAGCGUGCGGUGAAAGUCGGGGGCUCAACCCCUGAUCGGCCGUGCGAACUGGGGGGCUGGAGCACUGUAGAGGCAGGCGGAAUUCCGGGUGUAGCGGUGGAAUGCGUAGAGAUCCGGAAGAACACCGGUGGCGAAGGCGGCCUGCUGGGCAGUUUUGCUGACACUGAGGCGCGACAGCGUGGGGAGCAAACAGG